UUCCGCCCGUGGACGCCGCCGAGAAAGCAUCGUUGAAGUCUUCCCCGCCUCCACAGCCAUCAUGUCUAAAUCAGAGUCUCCCAAAGAGCCCGAACAGCUGCGGAAGCUCUUCGUCGGAGGAUUGAGCUUUGAAACAACCGAUGAGAGUCUGAGGAGCCAUUUUGAGCAAUGGGGAACGCUCACAGACUGUGUGGUAAUGAGGGAUCCAAACACCAAGCGCUCCAGAGGCUUCGGGUUUGUCACAUACGCCACGGUGGAGGAGGUGGAUGCGGCCAUGAAUGCAAGGCCGCACAAGGUGGACGGAAGAGUUGUGGAACCAAAGAGGGCCGUCUCAAGAGAAGAUUCUCAAAGACCUGGUGCCCACUUAACUGUGAAAAAGAUUUUUGUUGGUGGCAUUAAAGAAGACACUGAAGAACAUCACCUGAGAGAUUAUUUUGAACAGUAUGGGAACAUUGAAGUAAUUGAAAUCAUGACUGACUGAGGCAGUGGCAAAAAGAGAGGCUUUGCUUUUGUAACCUUUGAUGACCACGACUCCGUAGACAAGAUUGUCAUUCAGAAAUACCACACCGUGAAUGGCCACAACUGUGAAGUGAGAAAAGCCCUGUCUAAGCAAGAGAUGGCUAGUGCUUCAUCCAGCCAGAGAGGUCGAAGUGAUUCUGGAAACUUUGGUGGCGGUCGUGGAGGUGGUUUUGGUGGGAAUGACAACUUUGGUCGUGGAGGAAACUUUAGUGGUCGAGGUGGCUUUGGUGGCAGCCACGAUGGUGGUGGAUAUGGUGGCAGUGGGGAUGGAUAUAAUGGAUUUGGUAAUGACGGAAGCAAUUUUGGAGGUGACAGAAGCUACAAUGAUUUUGACAAUUACAACAAUCAGUCUUCAAAUUUUGGACCCAUGAAAGGAGGAAACUUUGGAGGAAGAAGUUCUGGCCCCUAUGGUGGUGGAGGCCAAUACUUUGCCAAACCACAAAACCAAGGUAGCUAUGGUGGCUCCAGCAGCAGCAGUAGCUAUGGCAGUGGCAGAAGGUUUUAAUUACUGCCAGGAAACAAAGCUUAGCAGGAGAGGAGAGCCAGAGAAGUGACAGGGAAGCUACAGGUUACAACAGAUUUGUGAACUCAGCCAAGCACAGUGGUGGCAGGGCCUAGCUGCUACAAAGAAGACAUGUUUUAAACAAUACUCAUGUCUAUGGGCAAAAAACUCGAGGACUGUACUUGUGACUAAUUGUAUAACAGGUUAUUUUAGUUUCUGUUCUGUGGAAAGUGUAAAGCAUUCCAACAAAGGGUUUUAAUGUAGUUUUUUUUUUUUUUUGUACCCAUGCUGUUGAUUGCUAAAUGUAAUAGUCUGAUCAUGACGCUGAAUAAGUGUCUUUUUUUUUUUUUUUAAUGUGCUGUGUAAAGUUAGUCUACUCUGAAGCCAUUUUGGUAAACUACCCCAACAGUGUGAAGUUAGAAUUCCUUCAGGGUGAUGCCAGGUUCAUUUGAAAUUUAUUUACAAACCUGCUUGGUGGAGAAGCUGUUGUCUUCAGAACCUUGGUGUAGUUGAACUGACAGUUACCGUGUUGUGACCUGGAGUUCACCAUUAAAAGGGUCACCCAUGCAAAGUCA
Molecule: RNA transcript, 1596 nt
Organism: Capra hircus (goat)
Lineage: Eukaryota; Metazoa; Chordata; Mammalia; Artiodactyla; Bovidae
Gene name: heterogeneous nuclear ribonucleoprotein A1-like
Exons: 1
Source: RefSeq, a predicted model, not a curated record